Brassica napus (rape) is the source of this 725-nucleotide long non-coding RNA. RefSeq lists it as uncharacterized. The transcript is spliced from 5 exons. The record is from RefSeq and is a predicted model, not a curated record. NCBI's taxonomy places the organism in Eukaryota, Viridiplantae, Streptophyta, Magnoliopsida, Brassicales, Brassicaceae.
GUUUUAUAAAUGAAGGAAGCAUAACACUGUUAAUUUUGGCAUGAAUGGGCCGGUUAAAAUCAUGUGAAUGUUUCUGGUCUAUGUUUGGUGGGCUUCGCAUUGACCCGUUAGUCAGUAGGGCAACCACUGUCUUCAUCUCCUUCCAAAUCCGUCGUCCUAUGGCGAUUCCUCUGCCGGCUUAGCAUAGUAGUCUAAACUCCGUUACUCGGAUCUUUAUGAUUCUACGCACGUAUUCCAAGGACGUUGCGAUUCCUCUUCCUGUAACGGAUUUCUCCAGCCUCCUCUAUAUAGGGUUCUUCGAAGCUGCUCAGCAUACUCUAUACUGGGAAGUUAAGAGACACUGGGAAAUUAUUUGAAUCAAACUUGGAAGGAUCUCCAUUAAAAUUUCGCUUAGGUGGAGAAAAGUCAUAAAAGGUCUCAGCAAUGGUGUUGAAGGGAUGCGAGUUGGUGAUAAGAGAAGACUCAUAAUUCCACCAUCUCUUGGAUACUCAGAGGAAGGAUUGAAGAAGGAAAAUGUGCCUAAGAACUCGUGGCUUGUCUAUGAAGUAGAGGCAGUAAAAGUGAGAUGAUGCCAUUGGCUCUUUAUGACCUUUUGAAACAAACAAGCUUUAAGCUUCUGCCCUGAGUCAUCUAUCUGUCUCCUUUACACGAAUCAAACUGGGCCAAUUUUUAGAGAAAUUUAAAACCCCCUAAAAUUCAAGUUAAUUAGGGGAAACAAACAAUAA